AGAGUUUGAUCCUGGCUCAGGACGAACGCUGGCGGCGCGCUUAACACAUGCAAGUCGAGCGAGAACCAGGGCUUCGGCCCUGGGGACAGCGGCGAACGGGUGAGUAACACGUGGGUAAUCUGCCCUCGGCACCGGAAUAGCCCGGGGAAACUCGGAUUAAUGCCGGAUGGCCCACCCGCCUCGAGAGGCGGUUGGAAAAGGUAGCUUCGGCCUCCGGCCGAGGAUGAGCCCGCGGCGGAUUAGCUUGUUGGCGGGGUAACGGCCCACCAAGGCGACGAUCCGUAGCUGGUCUGAGAGGACGAUCAGCCACACUGGGACUGAGACACGGCCCAGACUCCUACGGGAGGCAGCAGUGGGGAAUCUUGCGCAAUGGGCGAAAGCCUGACGCAGCGACGCCGCGUGCGGGAAGAAGGCCUUCGGGUUGUAAACCGCUUUCAGGAGGGACGAAGCCACUCGGGUGAACAGCCCAGAGGGUGACGGUACCUCCAGAAGAAGCCCCGGCUAACUACGUGCCAGCAGCCGCGGUAAUACGUAGGGGGCAAGCGUUGUCCGGAUUUAUUGGGCGUAAAGAGCGUGUAGGCGGCCAGGUAGGUCGGUUGUGAAAACUAGAGGCUCAACCUCUAGACGUCGACCGAAACCAUCUGGCUAGAGUCCGGAAGAGGAGAGUGGAAUUCCUGGUGUAGCGGUGGAAUGCGCAGAUAUCAGGAAGAACACCCGUGGCGAAGGCGGCUCUCUGGGACGGUACUGACGCUGAGACGCGAAAGCGUGGGGAGCGAACAGGAUUAGAUACCCUGGUAGUCCACGCCGUAAACGAUGGGUGCUAGGUGUGGGGGGUGUCGACUCCCCCCGUGCCGCAGCUAACGCAUUAAGCACCCCGCCUGGGGAGUACGGCCGCAAGGCUAAAACUCAAA
This 911-nucleotide ribosomal RNA is filed under the name uncultured bacterium. Its description in RNAcentral is "bacterial SSU rRNA". It matches the Rfam family "Bacterial small subunit ribosomal RNA", at positions 8 to 905 of the family's 1533-position model. The record is from RNAcentral.